This 212-nucleotide unclassified non-coding RNA is filed under the name plant metagenome. Its description in RNAcentral is "partial contains small subunit ribosomal RNA, internal transcribed spacer 1, and 5.8S ribosomal RNA". The record is from RNAcentral.
UUUCCGUAGGUGAACCUGCGGAAGGAUCAUUAAAAAUGAAGCCGGGAAACCGGUCCUUCUAACCCUUGAUUAUCUUAAUUUGUUGCUUUGGUGGGCCGCGCAAGCACCGGCUUCGGCCGGAUCGUGCCCGCCAGAGGACACAACUCUGUAUCAAAUGUCGUCUGAGUACUAUAAAAUAGUUAAAACUUUCAACAACGGAUCUCUUGGUUCUG